CGUUCCCGGGCCUUGUACACACCGCCCGUCACACCACGAAAGUCGGUAACACCCGAAGCCAGUGGCCCAACCGUAAGGAGGGAGCUGUCGAAGGUGGGAUUGGUGAUUGGGGUG
Molecule: ribosomal RNA, 114 nt
Filed under: uncultured bacterium
Lineage: Bacteria
Description: partial 16S ribosomal RNA
Rfam family: Bacterial small subunit ribosomal RNA
Source: RNAcentral